UACGUAGGUGGCAAGCGUUGUCCGGAAUUAUUGGGCGUAAAGCGCGCGCAGGCGGUCCUUUAAGUCUGAUGUGAAAGCCCACGGCUCAACCGUGGAAGGUCAUUGGAAACUGGGGGACUUGAGUGCAGAAGAGGAAAGUGGAAUUCCAAGUGUAGCGGUGAAAUGCGUAGAGAUUUGGAGGAACACCAGUGGCGAAGGCGACUUUCUGGUCUGUAACUGACACUGAGGCGCGAAAGCGUGGGGAGCAAACAGG
This 253-nucleotide ribosomal RNA is filed under the name uncultured bacterium. Its description in RNAcentral is "partial 16S ribosomal RNA". It matches the Rfam family "Bacterial small subunit ribosomal RNA", at positions 524 to 776 of the family's 1533-position model. The record is from RNAcentral.